This 424-nucleotide ribosomal RNA is filed under the name uncultured bacterium. RNAcentral describes it as "bacterial SSU rRNA". It matches the Rfam family "Bacterial small subunit ribosomal RNA", at positions 359 to 775 of the family's 1533-position model. The record is from RNAcentral.
GAAUAUUGGACAAUGGGGGAAACCCUGAUCCAGCAAUGCCGCGUGUGUGAAGAAGGCCUGCGGGUUGUAAAGCACUUUCAGCAGGGAGGAAAAGCUUCAGGCUAAUAUCCUGGAGUCUUGACGUUACCUGCAGAAGAAGCACCGGCUAACUCCGUGCCAGCAGCCGCGGUAAUACGGAGGGUGCAAGCGUUAAUCGGAAUUACUGGGCGUAAAGCGCACGUAGGUGGUUUGUUAAGUCGGAUGUGAAAGCCCCGGGCUCAACCUGGGAAUUGCAUUCGAUACUGGCAGGCUAGAGUCUGGUAGAGGGUGGUGGAAUUCCAGGUGUAGCGGUGAAAUGCGUAGAUAUCUGGAGGAACAUCAGUGGCGAAGGCGGCCACCUGGACCAAGACUGACGCUGAGGUGCGAAAGCGUGGGGAGCAAACAG